Molecule: ribosomal RNA, 603 nt
Filed under: Sardinella zunasi (Japanese sardinella)
Lineage: Eukaryota; Metazoa; Chordata; Actinopteri; Clupeiformes; Clupeidae
Description: partial 16S ribosomal RNA
Rfam family: Bacterial large subunit ribosomal RNA
Source: RNAcentral
AUAGGAGGUCCCGCCUGCCCUGUGACCAAAAGUUUAACGGCCGCGGUAUCAUAACCGUGCAAAGGUAGCGCAAUCAAUUGUCUUUUAAAUGGGGACCUGUAUGAAUGGCAUAACGAGGGUCUAGCUGUCUCUUUUUUCUGGUCAAUGAAACUGAUCUGCCCGUGCAGAAGCGGGCAUGCUAACACAAGACGAGAAGACCCUAUGGAGCUUUAGACGCCCACCAACCGCGAGCAGCGCUCCCCUUAACGGGGGCCCAAACAACGCGGCCCUGGUAUAAACGUCUUAGGUUGGGGCGACCGCAGGGGAGAACAAAGCCCCUGAGAGGGUUGGGAACGGCCCUAAAACUGAGAGCUACAGCUCCAAGUCGCAAAACGUUUGACCGAUAAUGAUCCGGCUUACUGCCGAUCAACGGACCAAGUUACCCUAGGGAUAACAGCGCAAUCCUCUCCCAGAGCCCAUAUCGACGAGGGGGUUUACGACCUCGAUGUUGGAUCAGGACAUCCUAAUGGUGCAGCCGCUAUUAAGGGUUCGUUUGUUCAACGAUUAAAGUCCUACGUGAUCUGAGUUCAGACCGGAGUAAUCCAGGUCAGUUUCUAUCUGUGA